CCUGAGCCAUGUGAAAAUUGCUGUAGCAUUUCACGGCUUAUAACUUUCUUAUGGACCAAAUGGUCCAUGGUGGACCACCAACUUGCGUAUUAGAUCGGAUUAUCUUUCAGCUUUGAAUUUAAAUCCAUUUUAACUCCAUUUUUAGUCUCGUUUGAUCCCUCUAAGCCUGUAGAUCGGGCUCUUCAUGUUGGUGCAGCUCUUUUCUGUAAAAUAUAUAAAAAAAUAUCAAUUUUAAAAGAAUAAAGAUAAUUUGAUGCAUAAAUUAAUACUUC
Molecule: long non-coding RNA, 272 nt
Filed under: Elaeis guineensis (African oil palm)
Lineage: Eukaryota; Viridiplantae; Streptophyta; Magnoliopsida; Arecales; Arecaceae
Description: long non-coding RNA (EGUI_LNC030489)
Source: RNAcentral